CGCCGCCUGCGCUCUCCCGCCUGCGCCCGAGCCCAUCUCAGAGGGCGCCUUCCUCCGGGUCCUGGCGUGCGGAGCCCGAAGCCGGGGGCUCUCUUUUCCCUCCAGCAAAGGGCAUUGUUUGCACCUCCACAGCCCCCGGCACUGUCGUGCACCGAAGUGCGCUCUGGGGACCCGAGGACGGUGUGGCCCUCCGUUGUGGAACCCAAACACGAUGUGGGUCGCGCUUCGCUUCUGGGCGUGGGGACAACUGAGUCAGCAGUUAGGACUGGACUCCCUCGCGGAGGACCGAGUGGGGAAGUGAAGCCACAGAAGCAGGAGUGCUACAAUGGUGGAUGGAAUCCAGAGAAAUCAGACCCUUCACAUUUACUUUUUUGCAGCUAUUUCAGAGAACCAGAUGGAAGAGAAACUGAGCAAGCAAAUGAAAGUCUCUGGGGAUCCUGAGAACUGAACGUUUGGGAAAAGCAUAUUCCAGACCAGAAGAUGGUCAUGACUGAAUGGAAAUUCUGUGUCCUGCAGAAAAGAAACCUCUAUUACCUAAAUAAGGUAAAGUACUGCCAUCUGCUGACAAGGAUUGAAAAACUAGUAUUCAAGAUCUAUUCUAUUUCAGAAAUGAAGCCUGUGGAGACUUCCAAGAGAUAGUAAGUAGCAACAAAUCAGCACCUUCCAGAUUCAGAAUCCAGACCCUGGAAAAUAGCAACUUGGGGAAGAAAAGAAGGAGCAAGGUGGAUCUCUGGGUCCCAAAAUGGAUACAAUGAAAAAAAUUGGAGACUACAUGGAAAUUGAACAGAUGGAACAUAAUGCAGAAAUAGGAACGGGCCAUCUACACUUUCAGCCUAGCUUGUGGCUGGUGGCUUGUGGCUCGUGAGAAAGAAAGAUGAAAUCUACAAAGACACACUGAAAAGAGGCAACUCUAGAGGUCUUCAGGGAAAAAUGCAGCAGCAGAAUUGACCAGUGAAUGCUGUGUGUUACAACAGCUGGCAAGUGACUGUAGUUCAAGCACCUGCCACAUACCCUGGAGAGAUGCCAUCCCAGGGAGGAACCAAGCAGCAACAAAUCACCAUCUUCAAGGGAACCUAGAAGUCAGAGCAGCAGUGAGUUGGCUUGAUUUCAUGUCUUCUACUCUGAUUUACACUCCCACUGUUACUUUGUGAGAGACAGUCAAGGUAGACAUCAGUGGUAAGGGAGCUGUGAUCAGACUAACAAGAACACUCAGUGUUUUAAACUUAGUAACCCUGGUCCCAUCCUCAUGACCAAGGGUCAGGUUCGACCAGAAUCUCCAUGGAUUUGAAAGACCCAGAAUCAGCACCCUCACCUUAAUUCUACUGCCUGCUUGCUAGUGACUAUAUGCAGCACAGACUUGGGCUCUGACUACCUUCUUUGUCUGCCAGUGGGAGGAGGGUUGCCUUGAACUGGCACUACCACAACACUAUGGACCCUGGAAGAUAACCACAGGCCUGAAAUCACAGAGAAAUGUUUUUCAUUUUGGCUUUCAUUUUUUCUAAAAUUUAUU
This is a long non-coding RNA of Fukomys damarensis (Damara mole-rat), 1510 nucleotides long. RefSeq lists it as uncharacterized. NCBI's taxonomy places the organism in Eukaryota, Metazoa, Chordata, Mammalia, Rodentia, Bathyergidae. The transcript has 5 exons. The record is from RefSeq and is a predicted model, not a curated record.